Molecule: ribosomal RNA, 323 nt
Filed under: uncultured eukaryote
Lineage: Eukaryota
Description: partial 18S ribosomal RNA
Rfam family: Eukaryotic small subunit ribosomal RNA
Source: RNAcentral
CCCUUAGAUGUUCUGGGCCGCACACGCGCUACACUGACUGGUGCAACAAGUUUACAACCUUGGUCGAUGGGCCUGGGUAAUCUUUGAACGCCAGUCGUGAUGGGGCUAGAUUAUUGCAAUUAUUAAUCUUCAACGAGGAAUUCCUAGUAAACGCAAGUCAUCAGCUUGCAUUGAUUACGUCCCUGCCCUUUGUACACACCGCCCGUCGCACCUACCGAUUGAAUGGUCCGGUGAAACCUCUGGAUCGAGACUCGUUGGGUAACCGACCUGUUCACGAGAAGUUGGUUAAACCUUACCAUUUAGAGGAAGGUGAAGUCGUANCA